UUGAGGGAUUUAUAGCAGACCAUAGUAUCUCUAAAACAUUUAGGUGGUGGUACAGAAAUAAAGUAUAAUCCGACGAGCACAUUUCUUGUGAACAUACCGAGCAUCUCGAAGCUACAGUGUCAUCUCAAAUCUCUAGAAACACAAAGAUUUAUAAGAAAAUUUUUUCUUAUUGGCUUAAAAACUUCUCAAAACUAAAACUCUCAAUGUUUCUCUUAGAUCUUAUGAAACACUUCUCCAUUAAAUCUAUACUUAUAGUGAAAGACAAUUCUCUUUA
This 274-nucleotide long non-coding RNA is filed under the name Brassica napus (rape). RNAcentral's name for it is "long non-coding RNA (BNAP_LNC012986)". The record is from RNAcentral. Lineage: Eukaryota; Viridiplantae; Streptophyta; Magnoliopsida; Brassicales; Brassicaceae.